CCAUUUGCAAAUAAACCCAGAAAGUAAAACCACUCGCAGAUCUCUCCCUCAAUUGCUAAUUUAUAAAAUAGAAACCAACAUCUCUAUUCCUUUCGGUGCCUUUAAACUUCUAUUUCUUGCAGUAACUGGGUAAGGUCUUCAUUAAAUUUCCUCUUCUCUAAUUGCAAAACAAACCCAGAAAGUAAAAUCAGUCUCUCGAUUGCUAAUGCAGCAAGCAGAAACUACCAUUUCUGUUCUUCACUGUCUCCUUCAACUUUCAGCAGCAUCGAAUGCCACAUGCUACAAUAAAUUUUCCGACUAGCUUAUUUUCAGAGGAGAAAAGGAAAGACACUUGCGAUUUCCAUGGUUUCUCUGAAUUGGAUAGAAUAUCAACACACUAUAUGCCCCAAUCUCAAUCAAUUCUCCAAUUCUUCAGAUACCCAUAUGGGAUCCAGAGAGAAUUGCAAUUGAAAUUGCAAAGUUGAUUUUAGAAGAGCAUUGGAUGCAAACGAUGAGCAACGAAUGAAGGGGUAAGUGAACUCAUUUUUUAUUGUUAAAAAAAUAAAAAUAAAAAUGA
RNAcentral lists this unclassified non-coding RNA (556 nucleotides) under Hevea brasiliensis (rubber tree). Lineage: Eukaryota; Viridiplantae; Streptophyta; Magnoliopsida; Malpighiales; Euphorbiaceae. The record is from RNAcentral.